RNAcentral lists this transfer RNA (72 nucleotides) under Diaphorina citri (Asian citrus psyllid). It matches the Rfam family "tRNA". From Rfam's summary of the family: Transfer RNA (tRNA) molecules are approximately 80 nucleotides in length. Their secondary structure includes four short double-helical elements and three loops (D, anti-codon, and T loops). Lineage: Eukaryota; Metazoa; Arthropoda; Insecta; Hemiptera; Psyllidae. The record is from Rfam by way of RNAcentral.
GCUCCCAUGGCGUAGUGGUCACUGCGCUCGCCUUGCACGCGGGUGGCCCGCGUUCGAUUCCCGGCGGGGUCA